Panicum virgatum (switchgrass) is the source of this 2379-nucleotide RNA transcript. It is a transcript of the gene named putative protease Do-like 14, with no coding region annotated. Lineage: Eukaryota; Viridiplantae; Streptophyta; Magnoliopsida; Poales; Poaceae. The record is from RefSeq and is a predicted model, not a curated record. The transcript has 14 exons.
UCACUCAUUCUUGAAUCAUGAAAAAUGAUAUACUUUGUUCAAUUGUAGUAACAAACAUAUAUACAUGAACAAAUACUACUAUUUCCCAGCUGCUAGCGCAGCAUGAAAUGCAAGGAACGGGGCAGAGAGUGGGAUUCACCUCCAAAUUGCAGGAAACGGGGAAGGGAGAGGCACUUCCUACUGUAGGGAAGGGAGGGUGCGUGCGUGUCCAGUUGCUCGUCGAUGAGCACCUACAGUGUCCUCACAAAUCCAGCCAGUAGCGAGCGCGGCCCGGCCGGCGGAUGGCUUGGAUCUGGUGCAGGGGAGGGAAAGGGAGCCGCCUGCUGCAGGGAAGGGAGGCCGCACUCGCAGGGAAGGGAUCGACGAUUAACUAUAAUGCCGAGAAAGGAUCAAGGCUGUGAAAUGAUAGGAGGAAGGGAAAAAACAUGCAUGCGCAAGAGGGAGAAGACAUCGUCACUAUCUACAAUGUGUAACAGGCGGAGGACUUUGUCUCAAUUUAACUUCAAGCACGAAGACCUCACAAGUGAAUUACGCAAGUUUUACCUUCCCCGUGGCUAUCCUAUGCCAUCUGAACUUUCUGAGGGCAUGCAUUUGGUGAAUACGUUUGAAGAGCAUUUUGAUGACUUGGAUGGCUACAAUGAAGAGCAUGCUGGGAUCAAAUUACUUGCUUCAAGCAUUUCUAAUUCAGUUGUCUCUCUUGCUUCAUUUAAGGGGAGUGUGAGGCUUUUUACAUGCACAGGUAUUAUUUUUGGAUACAUGCCAUCUGAAAUGAAUAUCCUAACUUCUGCUAGCUUGGUCAGAUGCCUUGGAGAUGAAGCUAAGUUUGUUGAUAAAUUGAAGAUUAAGGUGCGCCUGCCCAAUGACAAGUUAGUUGUAGGAAAGUUAUGGAAAUAUGAUUAUAAAUAUAAUAUUGCUGUUGUCAAGACCAAAUCUUUCCCGGAAUUUCAUGCAGCUCACGUUCAUAAUGGUGUUAAAUUUAAUUCUGAGCUAUUUCAAGCUAAUCUGGUAGCUAUUGGACGUUGCUAUGAAUCUGGAGAACUAAUGGCUUCAAGUGGGAGGGUGCUGUAUAAAACUAGCAGGCUUGAUUGCCAAGAACUUAUGAUCUCCACUUGUAAGAUCACAAAGGCUGGGAUUGGUGGUCCCUUAAUUGAUUCUAGUGGGAACUUCAUUGGCAUGAACUUUUAUGCUAAGGAUGAAACACCUUUCUUACCAGUCAGUAUACUUCUGAAAUGUUUGAAGCACUUUGAGAUAUUUGGGAGAGUUGUACAACCAUGGCUUGGCCUCAGGGUUGGAUCACUUCGGGCUGAAAAACUGAGUAUUUGUGAAGAAAUACGCAAGAGCUUUCCACAAGCACAUGGCAUUUAUGUGGAGAUGGUUUCUGAGGGAUCCCCAGCAGCAUGUUCUGGAAUCAAAGUUGGUGAUCUUAUUUCAACACUUGAUGGAAUUGCUCUGUCCAAUGCACAACAGACUUGGCUAAAGUAUAUCAAUUAUGGACAUAGAUGAAGGUCCAUGGCAGUGGCAGUGUAGAUCCUUAUGGAGGUGAGGACAUGCUGUACCAAAGUGGCUGGAUCUGCUCGAUUUAGCAAGUCUGCUUUUCAACCUGGUAGCUAAUCUGAUACCUUGCUAAUAAAAGAUUGCCAUUGUGUUCUUGUCAAUUUGUUGAUCGAGAGGGGAAGUCCAAGGUAUUUGCAUGGGAAGUCUUGGAGCUGACAUGGUAGAUGUGCUUGUACCACAGCCAGAUCACCUGCAGAACAUUGGAUUUGGAGGACGCAGGACAUUACUUUUCUGAAUUUCCAUGAGUUAAUUUUCGACAAGGCAGAGUGUGCUUUAAAACGUUCUGAAGGAAUCGUUUUCAAGGUGAAUGUUCUCAGGCCAAGUGAUUGUUCUGGUUUUAUUGCAACAAUUAAUGGUGAGGAGGUUGCUAUGAUCAAGCAAAACAGAUGGCCUGUACCUGAGGUCGAGUGGAUGUAUCCAAGCAAAAAUGACAAUUCAGAUUUUACUAUGUGGCAAGAUCUUGUGACUUACAGAUCUGUGCCUCUCUCUGAAUUAUAUGUGAAAAACCCUAGCGGGUAUGGACUCCACUAUGAAUGAGGAGCAGUCUUGUUUCUGUUUCCAGGCCACUGUUAUUAGAUAUAGUUUACAAUAUUUGUUGUCAGAUUCAUAUUUUGCAGGUGAGUUAGAAAGCGUAUUUGUACCCUUAUAAUGUCUCGACCGUUGCUAGAUGUAAGAUAAUGCAAAGCAGGAAAAUCUUAGAAGAUAUUAUGCAAGACUACUGUUUUUGUCUUGCUUAUUAUUGAACUUGCUAGCAUCGGAUUUGUUUAUGUACUAGAACGUUUAUCAUGAUCAAAACACAUGGAUAUACAAAGUGUAUUGAACGUA